This 883-nucleotide long non-coding RNA is filed under the name Homo sapiens (human). RNAcentral's name for it is "PREDICTED lncRNA (TCONS_00231783)". Lineage: Eukaryota; Metazoa; Chordata; Mammalia; Primates; Hominidae. The record is from RNAcentral.
CUGGUGACUAUGGAAAAUGAAAGCAAGUUCACGCUGACAAUGCCCGUAAAGAGCUUUGUGAAGCCAUGACAGUGCUCUUCAAUUUUAACAUGAAGAAGAGGGCAUGUGAGUUAGCAAGACUGGCCAGAGGCCAGAGCCCGGGGCCAGCAAACCUUUCCCUGCUGUGAGGUGGGCAAGUUAGUUGCUCCAAAAACAAGAUAAAAUGAUUGAGUUCUUUUCUCAAGCGGGAGUCGGAGUUUAUCUGCUCUGAGAUGCUCCAGAUGGUUUUCUUACAGAGAAACUUCAUUUCAUGCUUGCAGUUGUUUAUUCCCAUGCAUCUAACUCUCGGCCAGGCACUGAAACAGAGCCCCAGCAGCUACUAUUAAUGAGUGUCUGGAAUAUGUUCCUGGCAUUUCACCUACCCUCUCUCCAAUCCUUCCAAGAAACUCACAAAGCAGGGCUUUUUCUUGAACUUCUCUUCCUCACAACAGUUAAAUCAUCCAUUUAAAGAUGUCAAACAACCUCCGUGUUCUAAGGACACAGCAUGUACAACCUCACAUAGAGUUCCUGACCAGACAAGACUUGCUGGAAAUUUCCCAGGAUCUUCCUUCCUUAAGUUUGAAUAGCUCUCUGGUUCCAGUUUGAAGCUGAAAAGGUUAAAUUCUACCUGAAGGAUGAAAACAACCAACAUUCUGUGCCAAGACAGUCAGGAGGGCAACCAUGUUUCCUGGUGGAGCCUCUGGAACCACUCAAGCCAAGAUGACCGGGGGUUUGGCUGGGAGGAGAUGGGGAAACUACAGACCCUACAGAUGGUUUCCUGUACCAUGAGGUUAAGCCUGGGGGCAGGAGAGGCUGUACCUUAGUUCCUUCAUCUGUAAAAUAAAGUAACAUAGUACCUACCUCA